GGUGGGACAGACCGUGUCCUUUGCUUGGUCCCCACAGGGCAGCAUGGGGCUGCUGGCUGCGGUGCUGCUGGCUGCUCUCCUGCCUGGGAUUGCUGCCCGGGGGGCUCAGGCGCUGUGGCCGGAUGAACCCUCACACACCUGCUCCUUCCAGAGCCUCAGUGGCAAGGACAGCGAGUUCUGCAGAGGCAACUUAGAAGUCAUCUACCCGGAGCUGGGCGACGUGGGCUGCACCUACAUCCCCAGUUGCCACCAGUCCCGUUGGCGCAUCAGCAGGGAGUGGGGCAGCCCCC
RNAcentral lists this long non-coding RNA (290 nucleotides) under Gallus gallus (chicken). Its description in RNAcentral is "long non-coding RNA NONGGAT005018". Lineage: Eukaryota; Metazoa; Chordata; Aves; Galliformes; Phasianidae. The record is from RNAcentral.